Molecule: unclassified non-coding RNA, 378 nt
Filed under: plant metagenome
Description: partial contains 5.8S ribosomal RNA, internal transcribed spacer 2, and large subunit ribosomal RNA
Rfam family: 5.8S ribosomal RNA (bases 1-105)
Source: RNAcentral
GAAAUGCGAUAAGUAAUGUGAAUUGCAGAAUUCAGUGAAUCAUCGAAUCUUUGAACGCACCUUGCGCUCCUUGGUAUUCCUUGGAGCAUGCCUGUUUGAGUAUCAUGAAAUCUUCAAAGUAAAUCUUUUGUUAACUCAAUUGGUUUCUACUUUGGUAUUGGAGGUCUUUGCAGCUUCACACCUGCUCCUCUUUGUUCACUAGCUGGAUCUCAGUGUUAUGCUUGGUUCCACUCGGCGUGAUAAGUUAUCUAUCGCUGAGGACACUGUAAAAGGUGGCCAAGGUAAAUGCAGAUGAACCGCUUCUAAUAGUCCAUUGACUUGGACAAUACUUUUAUGAUCUGAUCUCAAAUCAGGUAGGACUACCCGCUGAACUUAAGC